Molecule: ribosomal RNA, 119 nt
Filed under: Musa acuminata subsp. malaccensis (wild Malaysian banana)
Lineage: Eukaryota; Viridiplantae; Streptophyta; Magnoliopsida; Zingiberales; Musaceae
Source: RNAcentral
GGGUGCGAUCAUAUCAGCACUAAAGCAUCAAAUCUUAUCAAAACUCUGAAGUUAAGCAUGCUUUGGCGAGAGUAGUACUAGGUUGGGUGAUCUCUUGGGAAGUCCUUAUAUUUCACUCC